CUUCCUCCACCUAGAGAUAAAAAAAAAUGUGGUACUAAUGUGAGUUUAGAGAAGUGCUACAAAUUCUUGAGGAGCUAGAUUCCUGCCUCUAGCAUCAAACUGAGCACUGCAUUGACAAGGAACAGGGGUGGACAAAGUGCAGACCACACUCUCACAGCCAUUUUUGCACACAUAUACCAAGAUGUCCUCUUGUCCAGAAGGAGGAGGAGCAGGAGGAGGAAGAAGAGCAGGAGGAAGAAGAAGAAGACGAAGAACUACUACUACUACUACUGGAUGCUGCCAGACCAACAGCCGCGGUGCAAGAACAAAGCAGUACCAACAAGGAAAAAUCAUGGCCACCUACAACAGCAGAAGCAGAGGGGAAAGCCUCUUCCUGAAAAAACUGCAUCCACAAAAUUCCAGCCCUGAACUGUGAUCUAAUUCUGUAAGAUACCAACCCUAUGGCCUUUAGGAUUUGACAACUCAAAGCAAAGUAAUGGAAUUAGAGAACCUACAAAUUAGAUCCAAUAACGUAUUAUAGAGCACUGAUUGAGGCUUCUUUCAGUUUUCUAGGGAUCAUUAUUAAAGGGCUGUGAAACCAUCUAGUUCUCAGAUUGAUGUGGCUAGGAUUAUUCAUAGGACUAGUUUGGGACACUGCCCUUAUGAUCAUGGAAUUCAUUUGCCUUUUAGGAUGUUAGCACACAGCUUAAUUUGAUUUAUUUCAUAACACCAUAAUGUUUUCAUGUCAGCAUGUGCUCCCUCAUGGCCAGGGAUCACUCAAGAAAGAGGGAAACUUAGUGGGGAUAUGGUAAGCAAAACAACUGAAAAGAGGGAGCAACUGCCAGAAAAGUGACUGCAAGAUGUUCUAAAGACUGUUUUUUGAAGGGUUUCACUUCCCAAUUAUCAAACCUGGAAGCAUGGCGGUCACCAGGCACUACAAACCCAACAGAAGCAAAAGCAACCAAUGUAUUUGCUUCCAUGAAUUCCUUCUUAGCCUUUCUUUUCUCGUUCUCAUUUUAUGUUUAUAUGGACUUUGGGAGAUGAAAGAGCAUUAAUGCCAUUCUGACCACUCAGAAAAUGAGGUAUCUGUUCACAGCCUUCAAACAAUAAGAUAGAAUCAUGUUCCUUGAUUCAUGUAUGUGCUUGAUUCAUGUAUAAAUUGAGUGGCAGUGUUCAUUUUUAGAUUGAAAGGGUAGUGUGAACAGAGUUGAAUCCUCUCCUUUCCUACAUGGCGCUUUCAACCCAGGCUGGUAGUGAGCCAAGCUGGGAGAAAAUGUCAUAGUGUGUCAUGACAAGGUAAGGUUUAGGGAAAGGCUCAGCUCCCCUCAAAUGCUUUGUCCCUAUUGUGGAAAGUUGGC
Molecule: long non-coding RNA, 1337 nt
Filed under: Pogona vitticeps (central bearded dragon)
Lineage: Eukaryota; Metazoa; Chordata; Lepidosauria; Squamata; Agamidae
Description: lncRNA (ENSPVIG00000004465.1)
Source: RNAcentral